Molecule: long non-coding RNA, 1071 nt
Organism: Heterocephalus glaber (naked mole-rat)
Lineage: Eukaryota; Metazoa; Chordata; Mammalia; Rodentia; Bathyergidae
Source: Ensembl
UGGCAAGAAUAAGGCAGUGGGUUGGCCACAUCCUAUCCUGCAAGAUGGUAGAAUGUACUGAGUCAGAGACAGAUGUCCCCUUACCCCCAAAGAACACGCUUACCACAUCUACAAUGAGACUGUGUUCUCCUUUGCCUCUCCUUUACUGUCGCCCUUGAUCUUGGGCCCAACUCUUCUCCCAUCAUGGAGAAUCACGGAGAAUCCCUGGAAGGAGUGACAUCCUCAAGCUGGGUGUUGCUCAGCUUCUGGCUCAAGGAUGCUGCUGCUUCUUCUUACCUGGCAGUCUUUGCUCUGGAAGGAGACUGGGACCUGGGUGAACUUCACCCAGGAUUUUUCAUAAAAGGAUUCUUGUCCCAAGUUUCCUUCUUCUAGACCACAGGGAGUCUUUUACCUGGCCUGUUAAACCCUCAGAGUUCCAUCUCUCACUAGUUUCUUUCAUCUUCAGCCCCUGGCAGGGCCUUCUAUAGAUGUGACAAAGGUCUUAUGGUUCUGAGAAGCUAUAGAACCCUACUAUCCAGUAAAGUGACAGGAUCCAAAGGUCUGCAGGUUACCCAGGCAACCUGAAGAUACACAGAUCCAUGAUUAGUAUCAUCUGACUGGCCUUCCCAGAUACUACUGGAGCCAGGGGUGGGAGUCUGAAGAGGCUUCUGUAGGAGACACCACUGCUCUGAGUUUGAGCUCACAACUCUGAAUCUUCAAGCAGUAUGAGUUAACACAUUACCGUGACCACCUGGCUUGCUCAUCAUGAUUGUUUCGACAUUAUCAAAUCUAAGGCAACCUACUAAAAAUAAAAAUGGGGCCGGACUCAGAGCAGCACGAAAAAUGGGUCUUCCUGUUCCAUCUGUUGCCCACACUGAAUGCAUAUCUUCAUGGCCAGACUUAAAAAUAGUGAAAACUCUAUUAAAACUUAGGUUAGUGCUUUAACACAGGAAAAAAAAAAAAAAAAAAACCGGUAUCGUAUUUACUACCAAUGGGUUCUCAGGACCCGAUAUAUUCUUCCCUGUAAAAUCAUAGACACUGAGCAUGAGUCGGGUACGCGCAGUAUUAAGUACGCCUCCUGGUGGGAGACUA